RNAcentral lists this ribosomal RNA (253 nucleotides) under uncultured bacterium. Its description in RNAcentral is "partial 16S ribosomal RNA". It matches the Rfam family "Bacterial small subunit ribosomal RNA", at positions 524 to 776 of the family's 1533-position model. The record is from RNAcentral.
UACGUAGGUGGCAAGCGUUGUCCGGAUUUAUUGGGUUUAAAGGGUGCGUAGGCGGCCUUGUAAGUCAGUGCUGAAAUAUCCCGGCUUAACCGGGAGGGUGGCAUUGAUACUGCAGGGCUUGAGUAAAGUUGAGGUUGGCGGAAUUGACGGUGUAGCGGUGAAAUGCUUAGAUAUCGUCAAGUACACCGAUAGUGAAGACAGCUAACUAAGCUUUAACUGACGCUGAGGCACGAAAGUGUGGGGAUCAAACAGG